Molecule: ribosomal RNA, 372 nt
Filed under: uncultured bacterium
Lineage: Bacteria
Description: bacterial SSU rRNA
Rfam family: Bacterial small subunit ribosomal RNA
Source: RNAcentral
CACGUAGGGGGCAAGCGUUGUCCGGAAUUACUGGGCGUAAAGGGUGCGUAGGCGGCCAAAUAAGUCAGAUGUGAAAGUCCAGGGCUUAACCGUGGAAUCGCAUUUGAAACUGUAUGGCUUGAGUGCAGGAGAGGAGAGCGGAAUUCCUAGUGUAGUGGUGAAAUGCGUAGAUAUUAGGAAGAACACCAGUGGCGAAGGCGGCUCUCUGGACUGUAACUGACGCUGAGGCACGAAAGCGUGGGGAGCGAACAGGAUUAGAUACCCUGGUAGUCCACGCCGUAAACGAUGAGUGCUAGGUGUCGGGAGUCAAAUCUCGGUGGCGGAGUAAACACAAUAAGCACUCCGCCUGGGGAGUACGGUCGCAAGACUUAA